AUCCCUUGACAUCCUGCGAACUUUCUAGAGAUAGAUUGUAGCCUUCGCGAACGCAGUGACAGGUGCUGCAUGGCUGUCGUCAGCUCGUGUCGUGAGAUGUUGGGUUAAGUCCCGCAACGAGCGCAACCCUUAUCAUUAGUUGCUAACAUUUAGUUGACAACUCUAAUGAGACUGCCGGUGAUAAACCGGAGGAAGGCGGGAACGACGUCAAGUCAUCAUGGCCCUUAUGGGAUGGGCUACACACGUGCUACAAUGGGGGGUACAAAGAGCAGCCAACUGGCAACAGUGCGCGAAUCUCAUAAAACCUCUCGUAGUCCGGAUCGGAGUCUGCAACUCGACUCCGUGAAGUCGGAAUCGCUAGUAAUCGUGAAUCAGAAUGUCACGGUGAAUACGUUCCCGGGCCU
RNAcentral lists this ribosomal RNA (404 nucleotides) under uncultured bacterium. RNAcentral describes it as "bacterial SSU rRNA". It matches the Rfam family "Bacterial small subunit ribosomal RNA", at positions 976 to 1381 of the family's 1533-position model. The record is from RNAcentral.